AGAGUUUGAUCAUGGCUCAGGACGAACGCUGGCGGCAGGCUUAACACAUGCAAGUCGAGCGCACUCUUCGGAGUGAGCGGCAGACGGGUGAGUAACGCGUGGGAAUCUACCUUGAACUACGGAAUAGCACCGGGAAACUGGUAUUAAUGCCGUAUGUGCCCUUAGGGGGAAAGAUUUAUCGGUUCAGGAUGAGCCCGCGUUGGAUUAGCUAGUUGGUGGGGUAAUGGCCUACCAAGGCGACGAUCCAUAGCUGGUCUAAGAGGAUGAUCAGCCACAUUGGGACUGAGACACGGCCCAAACUCCUACGGGAGGCAGCAGUGGGGAAUAUUGGACAAUGGGCGCAAGCCUGAUCCAGCCAUGCCGCGUGAGUGAUGAAGGUCUUAGGAUUGUAAAGCUCUUUCAGUGGGGACGAUAAUGACGGUACCCACAGAAGAAGCCCCGGCUAACUUCGUGCCAGCAGCCGCGGUAAUACGAAGGGGGCUAGCGUUGUUCGGAAUUACUGGGCGUAAAGCGCACGUAGGCGGAUAUUUAAGUCAGGGGUGAAAUCCCGGGGCUCAACCCCGGAACGGCCUCUGAUACUGGGUAUCUUGAGUGUGGUAGAGGUAAGUGGAAUUGCGAGUGUAGAGGUGAAAUUCGUAGAUAUUCGCAGGAACACCAGUGGCGAAGGCGGCUUACUGGACCACAACUGACGCUGAGGUGCGAAAGCGUGGGGAGCAAACAGGAUUAGAUACCCUGGUAGUCCACGCCGUAAACGAUGGAAGCUAGCCGUCGGGUUGUUUACAGCUCGGUGGCGCAGUUAACGCAUUAAGC
This 810-nucleotide ribosomal RNA is filed under the name uncultured bacterium. RNAcentral's name for it is "bacterial SSU rRNA". It matches the Rfam family "Bacterial small subunit ribosomal RNA", at positions 8 to 865 of the family's 1533-position model. The record is from RNAcentral.